Molecule: long non-coding RNA, 363 nt
Organism: Argiope bruennichi
Lineage: Eukaryota; Metazoa; Arthropoda; Arachnida; Araneae; Araneidae
Exons: 4
Source: RefSeq, a predicted model, not a curated record
UUGAACUUGAAACACUGCAGUGAGCUGCACGCAGGCGCAGUGCAGUCGGAAAGGCUCCAUCUAAAACUGCGUAGGCGAUUCCUGUGAGCUGGCAGGGUUGUUUUAGUGGAGAAAUGAAAAAUAAAACAAAAUAGUAAACUUUUGAAAAGGUUCUUUUUAAAUUAGACGGUGCGGGCUUCAUUACGUUAAAAGAUAACCGAAAUUUGAAGAAACUCAAAGUUGAAGAGGAUUAAUUCUCCGAGAAAGGUGCUCUAUCUGCUUGGAAGCUCUGUAGUCCUCUGACAAGUCUAGAGGUUAUUCUUGGAAAUUCAGCUUCACUAUGGAGCAUUGUAAUUGAAGUUGAUUGGCCUCCUAAAUCAAAAU